This 14034-nucleotide long non-coding RNA is filed under the name Marmota monax (woodchuck). The stretch from base 12066 to 12135 matches the Rfam family "tRNA". Lineage: Eukaryota; Metazoa; Chordata; Mammalia; Rodentia; Sciuridae. The record is from RNAcentral.
UGACUUUGAACUUGCGAUCCUCCUGCCUCAGUCUCCUGAAUCACUAGCGCCACCACUCCUGGCUCGGCUCUUUCCUGCUUUAUUGUUUUUUGUUUGUUUGUUUGUUUUUGUUUUUGUUUUUGGUAAUGGGGUUUGUACUCAGGGGCACUUGACUACUGAGUCACAUCCACAGCCCUAUUUUGUAUUUAGAGACAGGGUCUCACGGAGUUGCUCAGUGCCUUGCUUUUGCUGAGGCUGGCUUUGAACCCACGAUCCUCCUGCCUCAGCCUCCUGAGCCACUGAUUACAGGCCUCUGUGCCUGGCCUCUUGCUUUCUUUUUAAGUGGGGUCUGACUACAAAGCCGACUUCCAGUUAGGCUUGCUUGGUGUGUGGCACUGCUGUACCUACUGGCCACUUGUUUUAUUCUGGUGUGAGCUGGAGACUGUGGGCCUGUUUUUUCCUCCUCUGUGGUUGCCCCGAGAGAAAUCCAUCCUGGGAGUAAACAGGAGAGGAGCAGACGGACUCUCACCCGGGUGAGCUCGAGAAGGCCACUGGACCCCUGCUGUCCUCCUUGGAGCAGCCGCCAGCGGCCUGGGGCGUGCCAGGCUCCCGACUCUCUUCCCAUUGUCCACUCUCAUUUGCAGGCCAUCCUGAUCACCUGGACGAAGCGGUUUAAAGCCAGUGGCGUGGAAGGGGCAGAUGUCGUCAAGCUGCUGAACAAAGCCAUCAAAAAGCGAGGGGUAAUUUCUCUCAGGCUGCACAGAGGGGAGGAGUGGAGCCGGGUCUUAAAGCAGACUAAAACCCUCUCUUGGGGGCUGUAGUGCCUGAACCCGAGCAGGGCCAGGUGUGGGCCCAGGAGUGUUUAGAGCCAGACUCUCAAAGAUACCAGGGCUGGGGCCAGGAGAUCACCUCCCAAGGGGAGUGUGGGCUGAGGGAGCCACAGACUAGCCUGCGGGCUGGAGCAGAGACCGAGGAGCUGACCUUCUCGUGGGCACGGGAUCUCCUGCUUCCUGCAGUGGUUUGUGGAAGAACGUGACUCCGUGAGUAAAAUCCACUCCCCAAAGGAUCCUAAGCCAGAUAAUUAAGGGGACCGUGCAGUUUCCGUAAGGUAAUCACAGUUCUCUAAUCCAAUUAGUUUGAGUCCUGGCAGCAACGAAGCCAGCACCACCCCCCAGAGCUGGGGAGAUUCUGAGAACCGGUGUGCUCUUGCCAAGCUCUCUGGGGUGGGUGAUCCCUGCACCCAUGUGGGUGUGGACACCAACACCCCGCUAUCCUCCCCAGGACUAUGACGCGAACAUUGUGGCUGUGGUGAACGACACGGUGGGGACCAUGAUGACCUGUGGCUAUGACGACCAGCAGUGUGAAGUCGGCCUGAUCAUUGGUAACAAGCCCCGGUUGCUCAGCCCAGCUUUUAGCUGAUGAUUUGAGGCUCCGCCUUCUGGCUACCAUGUGACUGCAGCUCCCACGUUGUCUCCCAGGCACGGGCACCAACGCUUGCUACAUGGAGGAACUGAGGCACAUUGAUCUGGUGGAAGGAGACGAGGGGAGGAUGUGCAUCAACACUGAAUGGGGAGCCUUUGGGGACGAUGGAUCACUGGAAGACAUCCGGACCGAAUUUGACAGAGAGUUAGACCGAGGGUCCCUCAACCCUGGAAAACAGCUGUGAGUUUUUGACAUUCUCCCCUAGCUCCCUACAUGAUCUCGGGGGACACUUAACAAAACCCCGGGGGUGGGGUGGAAGCUGGAAGGGUGCAAAGCCAGGUGAUCCCAGAUGCAAAAGCCCAUCAGAUGUGCAUGAUUUUUGGCUCCUCAUUUGGACAGAGGCGCAGCUGUGGAGUCAGUAGCUUUCAAAGCAGUUCUUAGAUAUUAUUCUCUUUGUUUAAUUACAUGAUAAUUGUGUCCUUGUGAAACAUUUUGAAAAUUAAAAGCACAGAAGCAUCAGUAUAAAGAUACGGUUGAAAGACAUUCCUACAUGCUGUAGUUGCUGGUCUGCUGCUCAGGAGGAGGGGACCUCAUCAUACGUGGGGCCUCAGUCGAGCAAGGGAGAGGGAGCGUGCAUUUGUCAAUAUUGUCAGCACAUAUUCACGGAGCACUUUGUGCUGAGCUCUGUGCUAGACUCCAGGGCUCCAAAACAGUGCCUUCCCUCCCAGGACUUACCAUCCCUAUGGGAAGAUGGGUCACAUCGAGCUACACAAGUCACACAGACCUUAGGAGAAACCCGUGUCAAGCACAGGAGGGAGGAUCAGAGUCCAUACAGCAUCCAACUUACAGGCGGGUGGAUUUUGGCCUGGCGAGUUCCUGGCAUCAUUCAGGCUAGAGUGGAUGUCGCUUUCUCUGAGCCACUUUUUUCCUGAAGUGCAUGCGCACAUUUCUCUGUGAUGCAAGCAGGCUGCCAGCCCUCUUGAGUUAGCCCAGCCUCUGGCAGCCUUGUCCUGGGCUUGGGUUCUGUCAGCCUGCAGAGAGGCGCGCGCAGACCCUGUACACCUGACGGCCCUCACCCUGAUGCCAGACAGAAACAGGGGUUGACUGAAACCCGUCAUCUGACAGAUCUCCAUGCGCCCAGCUAAACAAUUGGUCUUUCCACCCGAAUUAAUGGAAUUGCAUAAUCAUGGGUGGCAGCCCUCCCCCCACCGUGGGGGAGGGGGAGUGGAGGAACCAGGUUCUCAAUGAGAGGCUGUCCAGAUUCUUAGACCCAGAGAUGAGCUUCUGCUUUGCAGGUACCAGCUUGGGGAUAAGGGACUCUAGUUCCAAAGCUAUGACAGGAACAAUUUUGGGGGGUUCCCUCCCCAACCAUGAACCUGACUCCUAGUCCUAAAACCUGAUCCCAGCUAACAUGAAGUUAUUGCCAGUGCCUGUGGACGCUUCACCAAAGAGCCUGGAUGUGCUUGAUUACAGGGUGCCUUGGGCACCUCUGAGUGGUCUGUGACAUACGGCAUCUGCAUCCUGUUGUAUCCCUAAUGUCCCCCAAUCUCCACAGUCUCAAUCACAUGUGACCUCAGGGGCUUCAGAUAAGGGGUUAUGUGCUGUAGCUUCUAUCAGCCACUUACUCAGAUGUCUCCCUUCUCAGCAGUGUGGACAGGCAGGUCACUGUGGUUGCUGAGCAGACGUGAUCUAGGCCCUUGUCUGUAUCCUUAGCCCAGUGUGGGAACCCUGCCUGGCUUGCAUAUGUAAACCUGGAUUUCGCUGCCAUAUGGGUUUUUUUUUUUUUGGUACUGGAGAUUGAACCUGGGAGCACUUAACCACUGAGCCACAUCUCCACCUCUUUUUUGUAUUUUAUUUAGAGACAGGGUCUCACUUAGUUGCUGAGGCUGGCUCUCGAUCCUCCUGCCUCAGCCUCCUGAGCCACUGGGAUGACAGGCGUGUGUGACUGUGCCCGCCUCCCUUCUUUUAUCUUCAACCCUCUCCUUCCCUCCAGAUUCCUUGGGUUUCUUGUUCUGUUGUCUGUGUUGCCUCUGGAAUCCCCAAUUCCAUCUCCCUCUGAUUCCUUAUUGUCUCCUUCAGGGUGCGAGGAGAGCCUUUGCCCCACACAGCAGCCAGCGCCUUGGCCACAGCGGCCGACUCUGGAGAGGGAGCCCUGUGGCCUGGGUGGUGGUGGAAUAACUGCACAGGUUCCCGGCCCCACGCCCUCUUUUUCUUCUUGUUCUGCCCCAGCCAUAGAAUCUCUACCUGGCCAUGGGCCUCUCCCUCCUUUUCCUUCCCCAGGCUGACUGCUGGGGCCAGUUGCUGUGCACGUCCUCGCUCCUGACCCCGACCCCAUCUCAGCCCUGCCUGGGCCCACCAGCAGGCAUGGUGCUGCUCCUCGAUGCUGGGCCCUGGCCAUCAGGGUCUGAGUGCUGAGAGGCAGAUUUCAUGUGGGCAGAAGGGACGCACGGCCGGGGAGAGCCACUGGCUCCACCAGCCUUUGGCUUGUGCAGAGAGGGGCUCUUGGGAGGUGCCAUGAUUUGUUCUGUUGCUUCACAGCUUUCUAAAGACUGAGAAAGGACAGACCUGGCCCUGGCUCCAUCUGGAAUAGGGUUAUCAGUGCUGCAUUUGUGAAGGACCAUUGGGUGGGACAGGAGCAGAUCAUUGUGGGUGUCUCCAGAAGGCAGAGGAAGAAGUGGUGAUGGGGUGCCAGCAGCCGGACAUUAGCUCAUCCUGACGGGGAAACUUCUCCUUUUGUCACACUGCCCAGUGGUGGACGGGCUACCUAGGAAGUGACUGGAGGAAGACAAGCAGAAGCUGGAUGAGGGAUGAGGCUAGGUAGCCCUGCCGUGACAGUAGUAGCUAACAUUGAACGGCACUGUCCAUGAGACAGAUAGACAGACUGCACAGGGUUAGAGCAGAGUUUCUGGUGUUCCGUUUAGCUGGGUUCAACAUAUGGGUUUGCCACUGUUAGCUCUGUCCAUGGGCGAGAUUUAUAACCUUUGCUUCUCAGUUUUUCCAUCUGUGAAGUGGGUAUAAUGCCAAUGUCUACUUUGUAGAAUGGUAAUGAGGAUAAAAUAAGUUAAAAUAUUUAAAGAGCUGAGAAAAGUACCAGAAACAUAGGAAGGUCAUAAGAAUUCAUUGUUGGACACCAUAGUAUUUAACCUAUAUUAACCCACAUCCUCUGUAUAAUCUGGUAAGAGGCCCUGUUAUUGUCCCCGUUACAAAAGCGAGGAGACUGAGGUCCAGAGACGUGAGGAGCCCAGUGAGGACCCCAGUGGAAACGGAGGCAGGGCUGAGCCUGGGUAGUCAGGCUCUGCCUGGCUCCUUCCAGCUUGGUCCUCCACAGGGGCUGGUUCCCAUAGGUGCCUGGGGUGGCAGCUGGGCAGCUAGGACCCAGAAGGAUGCUCCUUCCAGGGCGGUGGCUGGGCGGUCCUGUCUGGUCCUGCAGGAGCAGAAACAAUGGGGACUCUGUCUCUGAAGAGGCUCUGAGCUUGCUGACAGACUGCUGCAUGCUCAGGUCCUAACAGCAUCUGGGCUUCCAGGCCCGGCUCUGACUGGAACAGAUUGUUUUGCUGUGUCACUAUCAGCUCUGGGGAUGCCAGCCCUGAGAGGGGAGGCCGCGCUCUCACGGGGGCCUGCCUCUUUGAUCCGCCCUCCUCAGGGUUUCCUCCUGGCCCCUGGUCAGCCAGGAUCGGGGCUGAAUCUGGCUCAGAUACAACAUGGAGCCCCUGUUCCCUGGUUCUGGCCUGGGCCUGUCUCAGUUGUGUGUUGGCCUCAGUCUUAGGCUCCCUGCAGCGCUGAGCAGGGGGGAGAGGCUGCUGCAAUAACCGGGCUGCACCUCACGCCCCCCCCAGGAGAGGGAGUGGCUCGCUUGAUUCAGCUGGAGCAGGACAUUGAGCUCACUGGCUUUCAGCCUCUCAGACCCCAUCCCUGCAGCUAAGGGUGAAGUCUGUUGGGGCAGUUGGGGGUGACUUUCUCUAAGCGCAGAGGGUACCAAGAAGGUGAUCUGCAAAUGUCCCAGCAGCAGCCCAAUGAGGAGAAUGCUUCCUUGACACCCCCUUCCCACAGGAGGGCCCCUGAUAGAGGGAUGGAAGUCAAAGCCCUCUAAAAAGCACAGCAGGCCUGGGUGUGGUGGCACACCGUAAUCCCAGUGGCUGGGGUGGAGGGGAUGAGGCAGGAGGAUUGUGAGUUCAAAGCCAGCCUCAGCAACUUAGUGAGGCCUUAAGCAACUCAGCAAGACCCUGUCUCUAAAUAAAAAAAAUAUAAAGGGCUGGGGAUGUGGCUCAGUGAUUAAGUGCCCCUGAGUUCAAUGCCCAGUAUCAAAAAAUUAAAAAUAAAAAGCAUAGCAAGCCUGGCACAGGCCUAUAAUCUCAGGGAUAAUCUCUAGGGUGGCUGAGGCAGGAGGAUCACAAGUUUGAGGUCAUCUUCAGACACUUAGUGAGAUGCUGUCUCAAAAUGAAAAAUAGAAAGGUCUGGGCGUAUGGCUCCGUGGCAGCGCACUCCUGCAUUCAUCCCCAGUACCUCAAAACAAAGCAACAGAACACGGCUGACAGUUUGUGAGGGAUGAUCGAAGUCCACCCGCUUGUCUUGGGGCCUUCUCAUUUGUCAUUGCCAAUCUACGUCCUAGCAUUCCCCUGCCUCCAAGCUGCCUUCCCCGCCUCCUCCUGCACGUCUCUUCUCCCUGGCACAGGCAUGGGGGUGACUUGCCCCUUCUGGAGUCUUCGUCCUGGUCCCCUCUUUGUUGAAUCACACGAGCGAGCGUGGUUUUGCCUCCCAAGGAGACUGGGAGCUUGUGAGUGGUGACACUCCUUUUGUGUCUGUCCCCUUCCUCACGUGCUGCCCCAGGGUUGGGUGUGGAGGAAGGACUGACAGGUGCCCAUGUGCUCUCUCCUGCAGGUUUGAGAAGAUGGUCAGUGGCAUGUACUUGGGGGAGCUGGUCCGACUGAUUCUGGUCAAGAUGGCCAAGGAGGGCCUCUUGUUUGAAGGGCGGAUCACCCCGGAGCUGCUCACCAGGGGCAAGUUUAACACCAGUGACGUGUCCGCCAUCGAAAAGUAGGUGCUACGCGGAGGCUUUCUGGGGAUAGAGGGGACAGAGAAGGGAGAUAGGGCCCUUCCAAUCCUGGCCGGUCCAUGAUUAAAGAAGCACCUAGUUAGCAGCCAAUGCUUCCUGGGGGGUUUUCCCUUCCAGUUAGGAAAGCGACCCCCCCCACCCCGCCUCCCCCUUCUCUCCUCUCCCUCUCACAUAUGUGCAGCCUCAAGGCAAGAUUAUUGCUGAGGAAGCUCCUGACUCCACUCCUAGUGUUGAGUGACAGUUGACCAAGCCCAGGCCUGGGUUCUUGGAGCUCCCUGUAGAUAUGUCCUGACCUCCUUCAGACUGUGUUCCAGGGAACCCUAGAGACCUCAAGAUGAUAAUUGGAUGAUUCCAGGGCCAGUAGGUUUGAGAAAUAUAGUACAAUUUAUCCUCCUUUUAGAGAUUUACAAUAUUUAUUAGCCUGUUUAAAAAAAAAAGAAGAACCUAGUUCCCUUUGGUGAACUCAUUCAUUUAGUUAGCUUUCCAUCACUGUGACCAAAACAUCUGACAAGAACAACUCAGAGGAGGGAAAGUUUAUUCGGGGCUCAUGGUUUGGGGUCUCGUCCACAGACAGCCGACUCUGGGCUCAAGUGAGGCAGCACGUCCCGGGGAGGGUCCCGGGAGGGGCCCAGCAGAGGAAAGCCACCCAGCUCGUGGUGGGGUCAGGAAACAGAGAAAUGGGGGGAGAGAGACAGAGAGAAGGGGCCUCAGGGAAGGUGCACCCUUUCAGGGGCGCCCCCAGUGACCCGCCUUCUGUAGCCACGCCCCACCUCCUGCAGUUACCACCCACUCAGUCCAGUGAAACUCAGGUGGACAGAUCAGAUUACAGCUCCAUGAUGAAUCGUUUUACCUCUGAAUAUUCCUGCAUUAACAGGAGCUCUGGUGGGACACCGCCUAUCUCAGCCAUAAUACUCAUUAUUUCCUAAACUUCUUUUGUGCCUCAAUCCCUCCCCACCCCCACACAUAUUCAGGGAACAUCUGUUAACAGCCAGAAAUGUGCCCUGAAACAAGUUUGCGAAACAGUCGAUUAACAGAUGAGAUUGGGUAGUUUGACAAGGGACAACCUGACCGCUGGCCUUUGGCAUCCCCAAAGAAACCCAGAGUCCAGUGUCUUCACUCUUAGUCCCGGCCUUCACUCUGAGAGGGACGUAGGUAGGCUUGAUCCCAGUGCUCUUGUGGCUGGCUUCCGUGUGCCCCUAGGUUCAGGAGGUGCCACGUGGCUUCCUGGGGCCACUUACAUAAAGACGAGGCCAGCGUGCCGCCAUCCUCAGUGCCAGGAGUGCUGGUGCGUCCCCACAAGGAAGGAGUCAUUUUCCCCGCCCACUGUGUGGUCCUGGGAACUCUCAUGCACAUCGGCUUCUGUGUGGUUGGAGCAGAAGCAGGUUUUCUGGGCAUUAGUAAAUCUGUGCCCUGGAAUUUGUCCUAGUGUUGUUCUCCUUCAGGAGCCGUUAGUGCAGGGGUACACCAGGCAGGGAACCCUGCUCCUGAGUUUCCAACCAUCUCUCUUUGCAAGUCUCUUGGGUGCCUGAGAACGGAGGGGACUGGGGGAGGGUCCAGUAGGAGCAGGGCAGCGGCUUGACUUAGUCCUGUGUGAAGUCAGGAAAUACCUGCCUUCUUCUUGGUCUGCUUCUGCUCUUGGCUCUUUACUUAGCAAGGAUCAUAAAAUGCACUUGACCUAGCCCCAGAAAGCAUGUCUACAUUUUAAUGAAGGCUUUCUCCACAAAACACCCUAUAAGCAGGGAUGUUAGAUGCUUUCUUUCGAAAAAUCAAUACAAUGUCACUAGUUCCGACUCACCAUUGGGCUGGAGUUAAGACUCCAACUGAAAAGCAUUUUUAAAAGAAGUUAAAGCCUUAAGAAUCAAAACAGGAAUAAAAUUGUCAUCAUUUGCCAAUGAUAAAUGUCUUUGUGGAGAAUUCUCCCCCAAAGUCUGUAGGGAAGUGAAUAAUAUCUGGAGAUAAUAUUAGAAAAGUCCAUUAUGUUUGUCUAUUUACAAUAAUUAAAAUGUGUCUAUAUGUUUUUGAAAUAAACUUCUCAUUUUGGAAUAACUUUAGAUUUGGGGAAAAUCUACAAAUGUAGCACCAGGGCUCCUUCCUGCACAUUCCUGUUGUUAACCUGUUAGAUCACUGUGUCGUUAAAGGGCGGUGUACGAGUGUGUCAUUUUCAGAGACCAGGUACAAUAACAGCAAAACUGUAAAGUCCCUCUGAAUGAAUCUCACAAAAACUACACAAGACAUGCACGUGGGAGAUUAAAAUUUUGACAGAAAAACCCCAGGAAGGCGCAGCUCACAGACCCCAUGAGCAGCCUUGUCCCCCAGGCCUCCCCUGGUCCUGGGCUUGGGCAGAAGCAGCUGUGGCCCUCCCUGCUCAGCGGCCAUCUCAGCUGUGCUCCCCUCCACGCCUGGCCCACCAGAACCCAGCCGAACAGUUGUCCCUGCCACCAGCAGGUGUGUGUUGGGGAGGCGCUCCCUCCCUGGGCUCUUUGAGGCGUUGGACCUCCCGGUCCCGCCUCUGCACACCCGGUGAGUCGGGGUCAGCCUGGAGUCCCCGUGCUCUGCGCUGCCUGGCUGGUCCCUCACUCACAAGCUCUGGGCUCCAACCUCACAGGAAUAAGGAAGGCCUCCACAAUGCCAAAGAAAUCCUCACCCGCCUGGGAGUGGAGCCAUCUGACGACGACUGUGUCUCGGUCCAGCACGUGUGCACCAUCGUGUCCUUCCGCUCUGCCAACCUGGUGGCUGCCACACUGGGUGCCAUCUUGAACCGCCUGCGUGAUAACAAGGGGACCCCCAGGCUGCGGACCACGGUUGGUGUGGACGGCUCUCUGUACAAGACGCACCCACAGUGAGUCUGCCUUUGCUGUACUUGUCUCUCAGAGUUUUGCAGCCAGUGAAAGGUUUUUUGUUUUUUAUUUUGCAGACAAGGCAUGUCUGGUUCUGGGCAAAGAGGUUAAAUUUGCCCUUUGGGGAGGCUCGCCCUUAGUGGAUUCUCUCUGGUGUUACCUCAAACGCCAUUAGUAUCUUUCCUUAUCUCUAGCUGCAGGGGCGCUGGGCGGAAUGUGUCUGUAGCUCAUCUGCAUUUCAUCAGGAGGAACUUCAUCCUUCUUGUAGUUUAGGUUGUAGGUACGCCACCCAUAUUCUUGUUUCAGAAACUCCUGAUAAAAUUCCCCAGCUCCUUGGCCAUUCCUUUUUUAAGUGAGGAACUUGUCACUUGAGACCAGAGAGAUAUUAAGUAAAUGGUCCCCACUUGCUGCUUUCUUGUCUGUUGGCUGCCUUGGCCAGUCUCCGCUCCAUGGCCAACCUUAGCUUCCAGAGCCUACUAGGUCACUAAGGACAUGACUUGAGCCAGGCGUGGUGGUGCACGCUUAUAUUCCCAGCGACUCGGGAGGCUGAGGCAGGAGGAUCUCAAGUUUAAAGCCAGCCUCAGCAAUUUAGCAAGACUCUAAACAAUUUAAUGAAACUCGGUCUCAAAAAAAUAAUAAAUGAAUAAAAGGGCUGGGGAUGUGGCUCAGUGGUUAAGCACCCCUGGGUUCCAUCCCUGGUAGCAAAGACAAAUUUUAAUUAUUUGUUUGGUAAGUUUUAAGAAUGGACUGCCUAUGGCAUGGGUUUUGUAUACAGGACCGCAGGUAGUUUCCCACUGUGCAUGUAUUUCACACAAAGUGUAUAUUUCACACAAAGUGAUACUGUAUCAGAUACUGUGCCUUCACAUGGUGCUGGUGAGCAUUGGCCCUGAACUCCUGGGCUCCAGUGAUCCGCCUGCCUUGAGACCCCGGGAUUAGAGGCACACACCGGCGCACCAGCUUUUUCUUUGGAAUUUCUUGGCUAAUUUUUGGACAAGAGACCAGGCAUGGUGGUGCAUGCCUGUAAUCCCAGCAGCUUGGGAGACUGAGGCAGGAGGAUCACAAGUUCAAAGUCAGCCUCAGCAAUUUAUUGGGGCCCUAAGCAACUUAGCGAGACCCUGUCUCAAAAUAAAAAAUAAAAAGGGUUGGGGAUGUGGUUCAGUGGUUAAGUGCCCCUGGGUUUAAUUCCCAGUACCCCCCACCCCACCCCUGAAAAAAUUUUCUGGACAAGAAAGCCUAAGGGUUUGCAACGUCACAUGAUUUUGACUGUAGUAAAAAGUAUAUAACAUCAAACAGAUCAUUUAAUCAUCUUGAAACAUGCGGCAUGUUUCAUGAGUUUAUUCUUUUUUUUUUUAAGAGAGAGAGAAAUUUUUAAUAUUUAUUUUUUAGUUUUCGGUGGACACAUCUUUAUUUUAUUUUUAUGUGGUGCUAAGGAUCGAACCCAGCGCCCAGCGCAUGCCAGGCCAGCGCGCUACCGCUUGAGCCGCAUCCCCAGCCCAUGAGUUCAUUCUUAUUGUGCAACGAUCACCAUGAGCUGUAUCCAGAAACGUUUUUCCAUUGCAACUUCACAUUUUAAACAAUGACUUUAAUUCGGUUUUUGCAUCGUUUCUCAUUUCAGAAGUAAUAUUUACUCAGGAUGGAAAUUUGAGAUAGUUUAAAAAGUUGCAAAAAGAAUAGAAGCCCUUCUUCUUCUCUUCCGUUGGAGUCGACUGCUGUUAAUAUUUUGGGAAACCUUUUUUCCUCUUCCCCUUGGCAGCAGCCUCCACACUGCAGAGCGCAAGUUCUGUGUCUUACGCCAUCCUGUCUUCAAGGUCUUUUCCAGCCACUAAGAAUGUACAGGAUUUGGGAGUGGGGAUGGAGGGAAAGAAAGAGCCCAUGUGAAAAUAAAAAAAAAACAAGAGCGAUUAUUUAUUGAGUCCUUCCUCAGUGCCAGUGACUCACAUAAGCAUGUUGAUUACCUUAUUCAGUUUCCAACAGGACACUUUCACACAGAUCCGCAUUUACUCCAAGGUCAAGUUACUAGCUCAAGGUCACUUAUGCGGACAUGGUAGUGCUCACCCUUGUUUUCAGAUCUGACUUUGAAGCACAGUGCUUUGACUAGCAAGGUGGUCUCCUUGACAUGGUGGAGGACAACAUCUCUGGACUUUGAAUUUUUUGUAUUCAUUACUUAUAAAAUAAUGAGGAUCUUUUUAUGGGUGAUUGUGGGCAACUUUGUUUUUCUUUUUUCACACAGAUGAUUAAACCCAGGGUCUAGCACGUGUUAAGCAAGUGCUGACCUACAGCCCUGAUCCUUUUUAUUUUUCAUGUUGAGACAGGGUCUGGCCAAGUUGCUGAGGCUGUUCUUCAACUUGUGAUCCUCCUGCCUCAGCCUCCCAAGUAGCUGAGAUUAAAGAUACGCACCACCAAACCUGGCUAUUUUUCCGUUUUCCUUGUCUGCAUUUGCUUUUUUUUCUACCAUGGAUGUAUAGGACUUGUGUAAUGAAAAAAGCAAGUGUAGAAAUGGAACUAGAGUGUGGUGAAAGAAAGGGGUACCAAGCCGGGCACAGUGGUGUACACCUGUAAUCCAGAGGCUCGGGAGGCUGAGACAGGAGAUUAGCGAGUUCAAAGUCAGCCUCGGCAAUUUAACAAGGUACUAAGCAACUCAGUGAGACACUGUCUCUAAAUAAAAUACAAAAUAGGGCUGUGGAUGUGGCUCAAUGGUUAAGCGUCCCUGAGUUCCAUCCCUGGUACCCCACCCCAUAAAAAAAGAAAGAAAAAUAAAGGGGUACCAGAGGACUGGGGAUAUAGCUCAGUUGGUAGAGUGCUUGCCUCACAUGCACAAGGCCUUGGGUUCAAUCCCCAGCACCACAAGAGGCCCCUGACCGGUGGCUCAGUCCAGCCAUCAUGGCACGCCCACUCCACUUUCUUCCCCAGGUAUUCUCGGCGUUUCCACAAGACCCUGAGGCGCCUGGUGCCCGACUCCGAUGUUCGUUUCCUCCUCUCGGAGAGUGGCAGUGGCAAGGGGGCCGCCAUGGUGACCGCAGUGGCCUACCGCUUGGCUGAGCAGCACCGGCAGAUAGAGGAGACCCUCGCCCACUUUCACCUCACCAAGGAGAUGUUGCUGGAGGUGAAGAGGAGGAUGCGGACCGAGAUGGAGAUGGGGCUGAGGAAGCAGACAAAUGACAAGGCUGUGGUCAAGAUGCUCCCCUCCUUUGUCCGGAGCACCCCAGAUGGGACCGGUGAGGGCCUGUUGGGACUGUCAGGUCCUCCUGCUCAUGACAGUGACCCCAUCACUGCAGAGCUGGGAUGGGGUGGAUCCUCCAGUGGAUGCGUUUGCACUAGUGAUGCCUGAUCUGGCAGGAGAGGGAAGCUCAUUCCGACUCUUCUCCAUUUUUACCACCAGCUUGUCCUGUGUGUGUGGCUCAGGGCUGCUAAAUCCCUCUGGCCCAACCUCCCGGUCCAGCACUGUCUCUAAAGCCAUGUUAGAAUUAGGGAGUUGGUUUCACCGUAGAAGGAAGCUGGGCCCUGAGGUUGUUCUAGGUUGGCUCACAAACAUGGCAAAGUGUCAGAAGAAUCAACACACAGUGCUGCCUUCCUCAGUCCCGGCAGGGUGUGUGUGAAGGAAGCAGGGUCCCUGGGCUUGUCACAUCUAGGCAGAUUGAAGAACACCAUCCAGUGCCCAAUGCCACCUCCAUGGUUCUUAUUGGAGCUGAGCUUUGUGCAGAAUCUGAAGAGCUUUGGGGUGGAUCCUCGGAAUAAUGCGUGUUUGUGAUAUGAAUAUCUUCUGUGUAAGUUACUUAUAUGCACUAAUGAUGCAUGAUUGGCCAGAGCAGGACACUUAGUGGCAUAAACGAGCAAGCAUUUAUUAUUGCUCACGAGUCUCUGUGUCAGCGGGAUGGUUCUGCUUCUCUGGUCCAGGCUUGGCUGACCUCUGCUGGACUCGUUCCUGAGCUGCAGUCAGCUGGACGGUCAGCUGGGAGGGUGACCUGCUGGGGUGCAGGGUGCUUGGCUGCGUGGGUCACCCUCCAGCAGGCUACUUACUGGGCUUGGGCUCUUCAGUGGCAGCAGCAGGGUCCACCUGGAGGCAGAAAAGGACUUUAAAGCCUCUUGGAGGCUGAGGUCAGGACCUGGCUCAGCAGUGCUUCUGCCGUAUUCUGUUGGACCCACGAUCCAAGGGGAGGAGAAACAGACCCCCAUCUUUUGGUGGGAAGGAUAGUGGCUACUUCUGCAAACACUCCACACGUUGACAUGAAUUAUUCAUUUUUGUAUGAAGUUCCCUAAAAUCAGGGCAUCGUUGCAAGUCUUUUUAAUAAGGCUUGUGAAGUUUAUUUGUUAUUGUGACAGGCAGUUCACUCCUGGGGCCUUUUGUCCUUGCAGUGUGACUCGGUGGCUGUGGGCAGUGAUUUAGUACCCACCCCUCCUCAGAGCCCACGCUGUGUACUGGUUGGGUGGUUCCAGCUCCCACCCCCCUACCCCUGUGUGCAACCUGGAGACCCUCCUCUUGCAAUUCUGGAGUCUAGGGCUUGCCAGCUGCCCAGAGGCACGUAGCAGUUUGUGGCAUUCUUUGUGUUCUUUACUCUUAACAGAGCAUGGUGACUUCUUGGCCCUGGAUCUUGGAGGAACGAAUUUCCGUGUCCUGCUGGUGAAAAUUCGUAGUGGGAAAAAGAGAACAGUGGAAAUGCACAAUAAAAUCUAUGCCAUUCCCCUUGAGAUCAUGCAGGGCACUGGGGAAGAGGUGAGUUGGAUCUGCUUUUUCAUGUCUGUAGU